AAACUUUGUUGCUGCACAUGAACUUUGUAGGUGUUGUGUUGAUCAGAUUAAAGACUGAAACAGAAAGUACUUUUUACUGCUGAUGGUGUUUAUUAAAUGUGUUCACUGUACUCUGGAAUUGUGACCUUGUACAUUUAUUUAUUUCACAGACUUUAUCUUCAUUAUUGACAGACAGGCUGAAAGACACCUCUCCACAUGUUAGCAGAGAAGGUAGUUACAUAAAAAACAAACAAAGAAACUGUCAUACAUCUGUCACUUUGUUUUAUGUCUUGUAGUCCCACCUAUGGAAUGAGCAGAUAAGAAAGGAAUGUGGUUGCUAAGGAGUUGUUGCUAUGGACACUGCUGUCAUACAGGUGCAGGGUGUGGGCUGUAGAAAACAGGAUGACAUGGAAAUACAGGAAAGCAGACAGGUAUACCAAAGCUACACUUUCUAGAUUUUAGUGGAUUUUAUUUUUUUGUUUUUUUAUCAUGAUGGUCAGACGUCUCUUUGAGGAUUUUGGAGAUCUCUUCAGAACAACAGUAACAGUAAGUGCUGACACCUUUCAGUUUUUUAGCUCAACAAACUGACACUGUACAGGAAGUGCUGCAGCACACACACACAAACGUCCUGCAGACUAUUUGCUGCUGCUCGUCUUUUCCAUGUUUUCUCUGUUUCUGCUGCUUCUUUGUCCUCACUGUAAACAGAUGUACUGAGAGACUCCUGCACUGAUGUUUCAUAGGAAAGUCCAAACAGCCUCACUGGUUCUCCAUAAAGAACAAAGAUUUGC
Molecule: long non-coding RNA, 767 nt
Organism: Oreochromis aureus
Lineage: Eukaryota; Metazoa; Chordata; Actinopteri; Cichliformes; Cichlidae
Source: Ensembl